Molecule: transfer RNA, 70 nt
Filed under: Sphaeroderma rubidum
Lineage: Eukaryota; Metazoa; Arthropoda; Insecta; Coleoptera; Chrysomelidae
Description: tRNA-Lys
Source: RNAcentral
CAUUAGGUGGCUGAAAGUUAAGCGAUGGAAUUUUAAACCAUAAUAUAAUAUCCUACAAAUAUUUCUAAUG